CCUACGGGUGGCUGCAGUGGGGAAUAUUGGACAAUGGGGGGAACCCUGAUCCAGCCAUGCCGCGUGUGUGAAGAAGGCCCUCGGGUUGUAAAGCACUUUCAGUGAGGAAGAACGCCUGGUGGUUAAUACCCAUCAGGAAAGACAUCACUCACAGAAGAAGCACCGGCUAACUCCGUGCCAGCAGCCGCGGUAAUACGGAGGGUGCGAGCGUUAAUCGGAAUUACUGGGCGUAAAGCGCGCGUAGGUGGCUUGAUAAGCCGGUUGUGAAAGCCACGGGCUCAACCUGGGAACGGCAUCCGGAACUGUCAAGCUAGAGUGCAGGAGAGGAAGGUAGAAUUCCCGGUGUAGCGGUGAAAUGCGUAGAGAUCGGGAGGAAUACCAGUGGCGAAGGCGGCCUUCUGGACUGACACUGACACUGAGGUGCGAAAGCGUGGGUAGCAAACAGGAUUAGAUACCCUGGUAGUC
This 465-nucleotide ribosomal RNA is filed under the name Vreelandella stevensii. RNAcentral's name for it is "partial 16S ribosomal RNA". It matches the Rfam family "Bacterial small subunit ribosomal RNA", at positions 338 to 795 of the family's 1533-position model. The record is from RNAcentral. Lineage: Bacteria; Pseudomonadati; Pseudomonadota; Gammaproteobacteria; Oceanospirillales; Halomonadaceae.